Molecule: unclassified non-coding RNA, 530 nt
Filed under: Hevea brasiliensis (rubber tree)
Lineage: Eukaryota; Viridiplantae; Streptophyta; Magnoliopsida; Malpighiales; Euphorbiaceae
Source: RNAcentral
AAACAUCAUUUGCUUCUAUUCCCUAUAGACAGAAGUUCAGACUUUGAAGAAUUAUGACAUUUGGAGUUGUAUCAUCAUUCAAAAUGAUAAGCCAUUCAUAAUUAAUUAGUGUGAAACAACUGAAAUACCACCACAAAAAGUAAAUUUAAAUAUGAAACAAUUUGGAAAACUUCAAAAAGAUCCCCAAUAGAAUUGUAGUUUAAGGUACCAACCAUCCAAUUUAACUAUAGAUAUUUGACAAUAAAAUAUUCUGUGGAUAUUCGAGUGCAGCAAGAGGCUGAAACGGGUGAGAAAUUAAAGUUCUUAAACAGGGAUUUUCUGAUAGAAAAACAUAUUAUUUCAUUUGAAGUUUUGAUAUCCAUCUAUCAUCAUAAGAACAUGGAGGUGAAAAAAAGGUAGAAAAUGAUGUUAAACCUUUCUAUAAUCCAAUGGUAGAAAAAGGUUUGCUGUGUAAAAGAGCAACAUAUAAUUCCAGCAUUGGAGCUGGCAAAAUGUUCUAUCAUCCAAUGGAUAGUCAAAGCUUAGUAGAA